Long non-coding RNA from Homo sapiens (human), 3830 nucleotides. Ensembl annotates it as long intergenic non-protein coding RNA 299. The record is from Ensembl. Lineage: Eukaryota; Metazoa; Chordata; Mammalia; Primates; Hominidae.
GAAUUAGAUUCCAAAUUGGAACAAAGCGUUCCCACUGGCUAUUUGACCACGACUGUAGAACAAGUGCCCUUGUGUGACGUUCUUUACGGGGCAGGGAUGAGAUAGUGACCGUUUGGGUCUUCAGGUCACCAGGGAGAGUGGUUUGUUGGAAUCCUGAGUGAGAAGCUUCAGUGCUGGAAACCAAAAAAAUUAAUUCCUUUCGAUGUUGGCGUGGCCUGGUUGCCAGGCUCUCAGGGUAUCUUUGUUAGUAAAAAAUCUUGCAUUGUCAUCAUUUUUGUUACCAUAUUUGAACUUUGGUGUAUUGCUGCUCUUGGUGUUAAUAUAUUAUAAAAGAGGGAGACAAGAUUCUAGGCCAGUUCUCAUCAGCCAUUGUGUAGCUGGGGAUGAGAGAGAAGAGCCAGUUUGAGCGUGUGCAACUGACGCUGGGAAUUUCCAUCAUACGUGUAUUUAUUCUAUUUAUUUGGAUCUUUGAUUAUCCUUACUGUCUUAAUGGCUCAUGGUUAUUUCACAUAUGUCAACCUUGUACUGCUCAAGAGACAAAAAACUUCCUGAGAGCAGAGCUGAAAUCUUUGGUUCUCUUGUAUUUCUCAAAAUGCCUAGCACUUUGUAUGGGAAAGAAUUGAUUCUCAGGAUGCACUUGUUGACUUGAAUCAAAUGUCUGUGAAAACAGGAGAGAGCCAUUGCCAUGAAUAAUCAAAACCCUAGGGUUAUUCAAAGCCCUCAUUUCAGCUCUUAAAUUUAGCUCUCUUUUCCCUCAAGCCUUUUAUCAUAAAUACCAUGAGGGGGAAGGAAAGAGGAUUAUGAUUUCAUCUCUAUUUGCCUCUCCUACCCUCCUGCUGGUACUGAAAUGAUCAAGAGAGUAGAAAAAUGCCCAAAAACCAACAGAAGGAAAGAGAUGCAAACGGCUCAGAGAACCAUGCAUGGGAGGCUUUGCCUAGAAUGACUGAGACAGACUGUCAUCUUGUAAGCUACUACCUGUUUUUGGUUUGGUGAUGAUUUUGUACCCAUUAGUGUGUGCGGUUUUGCAUUUGUGUACUUUGCGGUUUCAGGUGGAACUCGAAGUCUAUUCUUUCAAGGACAGAAGGGAAUUCCUAACAGUGCGCUGACAGUAAAGUUCAUGACAAAGAACAUCUGCAUGCUAUUACUAUCGAUUUGGGUAUUCUUGGAUAUUUUUAUCCUUUUUUUCCCAAAACAAAUUAUUUUCACUGAAUACCAAAUGUUCUGUUUCUACUCAAAUUAUAAAUCAUGAUAUGAAUCUAUUAGAGAAUGAUAUGGCCUAAAGAUGUCCUACCGAUUGUCAGGAUUUUCUAGAUUUGCAUAUAGUUGCUGGUAGCACUGUAAGCAGUGCUUAGUGGACUUUAGCUAAGACAGUGGCCAUGCCAUAGAAAUCCCAGGGGGAAGCUGAGGUUGAGCCAGGUGGGUAAAGGGAGAGCCAGAAUGUUUCUGAAACUGCUCAUUCAUUCCUUCAUCCACCGUUUAUGAAAUACCUCUUGCAGUCCAGGCAUUGUAAUUGGUGCUGAGAAUAUAGUGAUGAGGACAAUGGAAUCUAUGCCCUCAAGGAGCGGGGGCUUCUCAGGAAAGAGAGACUCUGGUAACAGAGCAUGUUCAGGGCUAUGGCAAGGAUACCCCAGAGAGCCUAGGCCCUGUACCAGCCAACCUAGUGGAGUUGAUGGGGGCAUGGAGGGGUAUUGGGACAAGUUUCUGAGGAAGACAUUUGACCCACUUUUGAUUUGUUCUUUAGGCAAAAAGUAGAAAAGGGUGUUUCAGUGACACAGAUAGAAACCAGGAUUUGUAAAGACAAUAUCUGAGUAAGAUAUGUUUUCCAAAAUGCAAAAAUGAUACAAAAUUAAACCUUCCUUAAUUGAUAUCUUAGAACAUUGAUUAUUGAGGCACAUUAGAGGGGGUGCUAGGCUGAACUGCUCAAAAGAAUGAACUCUGAUAUUGUUUUCCAUACUCAAUAAUUAGCACUAUUGCCUGGUACAGAACAGAGGCUAAGUUCGUGUUUGCGGGAGAAUCAGUUAACUCUUAAAUUUUUAUUUCCUUGGUCCCUUUUUAACACUAAACAAUUAGUAGUAGAAGAAAAUGUAAUUGUAGUUUGUAAUUUAAUGGCUAUCUUGGAUAUAAGGAUGAUCUUUUUACAGUCUCUAGUUAAGUUUACUCUGCAUUGAAAAAGCCUAUUUUUUCUUUGUAUACAAAUCAGCAUGAUUCUUCUAAAGUGAAAAAUAAUUUUGCUAAGUGAUCCACUGCCUCGCUGACCCAAUGGAAGAAAGCAGUGGUUUCUGUUUUUGAGAAUUAGAAUUUUAAAAUAGGAGGAGCCCACAGGCUGUGGGUACCCUUUUUGCCACACUCAGAAGUAGGGCACGCGUUUCUUGCUUUUCAGACUUCUUACCUUCCCACACAAAGAAACCACAAACGGGGAAUUAGGACGGAAAGAGUCAAGCGGCGUGGGCUCAUCUUCCUCAGCAGGGCCAUCUAAGAGGGCAUACCACUUUCCAAAAGAACUGAGCUGAGACCCCAAAUCUGAAAAACCAUCCUAGCUGCACGUCUAUACCAUUUACCACGGGCUGGUAACUUGUGCGGUGUUCUGUGAGAAUGAGUUCACUCAAUGUCCACACAACGGCCUUUUGAGAGGGAGGCUAUGAUCAUCCUUAUUUUACAAAUGGGGACUUUGGUUAAGAAUUUGCUCAGGGUCACCAGCUUGUAGGUGCCAGCACUGUGGCUUGAGUCCUGGUGAUCUGGGGGGCAGGUCCCAUGCAGACUCAUGUUGUUUUCACCCACUGCCUCCCUCCCUCCAUUCUGAGGAGGGCAAAAUGCCACACAAUGGAUGACACAGUCACAUUAUAAUGAUGCUGAGAUGCUUUGUGGUUAAAAGCAACAUAAAAAGAUAUAAGGCUAUGCUUUCAGUUUAAAACAACUUUAAAUGUUAGAAUCAGGAUUAGAAUAGUUAUUGUUUUUCUCAACAGUUUCCAAGAUAUAAAUUUUGAGGCCCAGAAUUUUUAGGAGUAUUUUAAGACUCCAAAGAUAAGAAUCCUUAAGAACUAACUGUGGAAUGAGAAACACUGCCAAAUGGAGGCUGGGCACGGUCGCUCACACAUAAUCCCGGCACUUUGGGAGGCAAAGGUGGAUCACUUGAGCUCAGGAGUUCAAGACCAGCCUGAGCAACACAGUGAGAUCUCAUAUCUACAAAACAUCCGGAAAAUUAGCUGGGCGUCGUGACAUGUUCCUGUGGUACUAGCUCCUUGGAAGGCUGAGGUCGGGGUAUUGCUUAAGCCUGGAAGGUGAAGGCUGCUGCAGUGAGCCAUGAUAGCGCCACUGCACUCCAGCCUGGGCAACAGAGCAAGACCCUGUCUCAAAAAAAAAAAAAAAAAAAAAGAGUCUUUUUAUUUUUUCACCAUCUAGAAUAGUUUGAAAGAAUGCUGGAGACUUCUGUUUUUUAAAGGUUUCAUAGAAUUCUCUUGUGAAGCUAUCUGAACUCACUGCUCUGGGGAGGUAUUAGCACUUUAACAAUUCUAUUUCUUCUAGAGUAAUUGGUCUACUUAGAAUUCCUAAAUUUUUUGAUGAAAGUUUUGGUGAUUUAUCUUUUCUAGAAAAUAAUUUCACCUACUCAGAUUCUUAGAGUUACAGAGAAUUCAGUAAAGUGAUCUCUUAUGAGUCCUAAAAUUUCUCCCUUUAUCAUGUCUUACAGUGUUUAUUUGUGUAUUUUUUAUUUGUUAAAAUUAGGUUAGAAAAUAAUUAACUUAUAUAUUUAUAUAUUCAGUUAUUUAUAGCUCUUGGAUUUAUCAUUACUAUCAUUUUUUAGUUUCCUAAUUAAUUUCACAUUUUAUGCUUAC